RNAcentral lists this ribosomal RNA (292 nucleotides) under uncultured prokaryote. RNAcentral describes it as "partial 16S ribosomal RNA". It matches the Rfam family "Bacterial small subunit ribosomal RNA", at positions 505 to 796 of the family's 1533-position model. The record is from RNAcentral.
GUGCCAGCAGCCGCGGUAAUCCGAAGGGGGCUAGCGUUGUUCGGAAUUACUGGGCGUAAAGCGCACGUAGGCGGACAUUUAAGUCAGGGGUGAAAUCCCGGGGCUCAACCCCGGAACGGCCUUUGAUACUGGGUGUCUUGAGUUCGGAAGAGGUGAGUGGAAUUGCGAGUGUAGAGGUGAAAUUCGUAGAUAUUCGCAGGAACACCAGUGGCGAAGGCGGCUCACUGGUCCGAUACUGACGCUGAGGUGCGAAAGCGUGGGGAGCAAACAGGAUUAGAAACCCGAGUAGUCC